UCAUGUCUAUGACUGAUAUUUCUGGGUUU
This 29-nucleotide non-coding RNA is filed under the name Rattus norvegicus (Norway rat). The record is from RNAcentral. Lineage: Eukaryota; Metazoa; Chordata; Mammalia; Rodentia; Muridae.